AUGCCGCCGGGCGUCAAGUGUGUGCCCCGCGACCAGUUUGUAUUGGAUCUGGAAAUGGGACGUGAGGGGUUAAGGGCGAGUGAGGUUGACAGGAUUAAGAUGGGCCUUGAAUGGAUGCUCAAGCCGGCGAGCAGCAGUCAGCCUGAGGGCAGCCGUGUGAAGAAACCUAACCCAAAAGAAAUGAACGCUUAUUUGAGGGACAAUGGUACUGGAUAUCCGGAUGAAGCCACAGGUGCAAUGCAGCCAGUAGUUGAAGAGAGAUGGGGCUCAUUGGGCCAAUUAGCUGCAUCAGUAUCAACGUACAGAGUUGCCUCUUCUUACGCUCAUUUGCAGUCCAUUAGGGGUAGAAAAGCUGGACAAGCAGACAACUCCGAGAAAUCAUUCGAAGUUGAUUGGAAGGAGGAUCGGCAAGGUGUCUCCUCUCGGGAUCAUGCCAUGAGAAAACUCAGAUCUGAUUCUGUACCUUGGAAGAAAAAUAGACAUAAUAUAUCUUCUGAGGAUCAAACGCUCAUCUCGUCAGCACUAGCAAGCAUCAAUAAAUUUGCUCACGACGGGAGCUUUAUGGAGAAAAUUAGAGAGUUCAAAGAUACAUCAUCUUCAGUGAGCACUCUAAAGCUAAAUGCAAAACAGUUAGCUGCGAAGGUUCUGCAGCUCCGAAUGAAAGGCAAACACGAAGAAGCUGACCAACUGUCGCAUGAGCCUGCAACAAAAACAGAUGAUAAGAAUGGUUUGGAGGAGAUUCACAACUUCAAGAAGUGCUUCCUGAAGAUGUUCGCGCGGCAGGACAAGAUUGUGGUUUUCAUGGAGACUGUCAUAAGCUUGGUCAAGCAACAGAGACAUGGCAUGAUUGAAUGCAUCCCUGUCCCAUGCAAAAUGCAGCAUGAGAUGAAGAAGCUUAUUCCAACGAGUGGUAACCUGCGGCAAGUCAUCCCAGAGAACUUCGCCUGCUUCCAUGUAGAGUUUGAUGAUGAGAGCAAGUUCAGUGCAUGUUUCAGACUGAAGGUUAUCAGAGGUGUUCUCCGGUUGCCGAGGGAGGACAUGCACCGUCGCCGGAGGCACGAAUCCAUGAAUAACCAGAAGCAAGCCGUUGCCAGCUUCAUGAGGGAUUUGGAGCCCUUCAACUGGACGAAGCAGCUCAAGUAG
Molecule: ribosomal RNA, 1143 nt
Filed under: Triticum aestivum (bread wheat)
Lineage: Eukaryota; Viridiplantae; Streptophyta; Magnoliopsida; Poales; Poaceae
Description: partial small subunit ribosomal RNA
Source: RNAcentral